AGGCGCGCGGCUGCCCGAGCGCCGGCCGGGCCAUGACCCCCGCUGCUCUGUCUUGCAGGCUCGUCGCCGCGGCCCCCCGAGCCCGACCGCCGCCGCCACCACCACCAGCGCCCGGGCGGGCCUCGCGCGCCUCGGGCGCGGCUCCGCAGUGAGCCCACCAAGAAGGAAGCGGCCUGCAGAGGUGCCGACAUGGGGCUUAAGAUGUCCUGCCUGAAAGACGCCGGUUUUCAUCUGUGAUGCGGGGACAGCUGCGCUCCUUGCUGCGAGGCGUCAGGACCCAGCAGCAGCAGCAGCCACGACGAGGCCCCCGUCCUGAACGACAAGCACCUGGACGUGCCCGACAUCAUCAUCACGCCCCCCACCCCCACGGGCAUGAUGCUGCCGAGGGACUUGGGGAGCACAGUCUGGCUGGAUGAGACAGGGUCGUGCCCAGAUGAUGGAGAAAUCGACCCAGAAGCCUGAGGAGGUGUCCUGGGUUUGGCUGGCUGGCUCCUGCUCCAGCGGCCCGGCUUCAGGUGUCCGGGGGCGUGGCUGCCUGGAGCAGGUGUGCUGAAUACCCUGGAUGGGAACUGAGCGAACCCGGGCCUCCGCUCAGAGAGACGUGGCAGGACCAGCGAGGAAUCCAGCCUGUCCACUUCCAGAACAGUGUUUCCCAGGCCCCGCUGAGUGGACCGGACCUCUGACACCUCCAGGUUCUUGCUGACUCCGGCCUGGUGAAAGGGAGCGCCAUGGUCCUGGCUGUUGGGGUCCCAGGGAGAGGCUCUCUUCUGGACAAACACACCCUCCCAGCCCCCAGGGCUGUGCAAACACAUGCCCCUGCCAUAAGCACCAACAAGAACUUCUUGCAGGUGGAGUGGCUGUUUUUUAUAAGUUGUUUUACAGAUACGGAAACAGUCCAAAAUGGGAUUUAUAAUUUCUUUUUUGCAUUAUAAAUAAAGAUCCUCUGUAACAAA
This is an RNA transcript of Homo sapiens (human), 953 nucleotides long. It is a transcript of the gene named calcimembrin, with no coding region annotated. The transcript has 5 exons. NCBI's taxonomy places the organism in Eukaryota, Metazoa, Chordata, Mammalia, Primates, Hominidae. The record is from RefSeq and is marked validated.